GGCAUAGGCAAACGUGGCCCUCCAGAUGUUUUGGGACUACAACUCCCAUCAUCCCUAGCUAACAGGACCAGUGGUCAGGGAUGAUGGGAAUUGUAGUCCCAAAACACCUGGAGGGCGAGUUUGCCUGUGCC
Podarcis lilfordi (Lilford's wall lizard) is the source of this 131-nucleotide non-coding RNA. NCBI's taxonomy places the organism in Eukaryota, Metazoa, Chordata, Lepidosauria, Squamata, Lacertidae. The record is from the annotation of a GenBank genome assembly.